UAAGAGACUUUCUAAAGAGAAUACAUAUGGUUAUGAAAUGUGUCAAAAAACUUAUGUUGGUGAUCACAAAAUUGCAUAUCCUUAUUCUCUUUAGUGUGCGGGCCAAUAACCUUGUCCCAACCUCAUUCACUCCGUCUUCACCUCACAUAUUGCCUCCUUAUUCCUCUGAACUUGAUAUUGCUGAAUUGCAUUGGUGCCUUACACGUGCAGUUGGUCAUUGUACUAGAUUUAAAAGCACAUGGCCAUUUCCUGACAAACUGUACGAACUUUGUAUAAUUGACGCUUUUGCAGUGUGCUUCGUUGAAACCUCGUAUUUUAAAAACCCAAUUACUUUUCAUAUCCUUUCAUAUUGCCUCGAAGUCAAUUGCGAUCCUAAAUUGAGAAUUAAAGCCAAACAUCGUCAAAGAGCCCUUUAUGCUCAUUGUUUAUUGGAAUGUUAUGAUAAGCAUGUCACCAACCCCAAUGAUGUCAUUUAUAUGCAUAAUCGUUGAGUUUCAACUUUGAUAAGUAUGGGAUUGUGGUGUCGUACCACAAUCACAUGCGAGUUUUGCAGGAACGAAAGCAGGAGCUGCUAGGUUAUGGAUGAGAGCUUUAGUUUGUAGAUGUUAUAUGCAAUGAUAAUGUAAUGUUUGUGCCGCAUGUGGUACGUAUGUUGUUAAUUGUAAGUAUUUUAUUAUAUCAGAACAAAUGGUUAUUAUUUUAUAUAUUGAGGUUAUUCAGUCAGCUCUGAUAUGUUAUUGUAAAAAAAGAAAAUGUAUUCCGCUGUCAAUUUAUACUCCGAUGACAUCGUUGUUGAUUUCAUAAUGACACGUGGAAAUCGAAAUUUUCACUUACGUAUUUUUGUAAAA
Long non-coding RNA from Alnus glutinosa, 848 nucleotides. RefSeq lists it as uncharacterized. NCBI's taxonomy places the organism in Eukaryota, Viridiplantae, Streptophyta, Magnoliopsida, Fagales, Betulaceae. The record is from RefSeq and is a predicted model, not a curated record. The transcript is spliced from 2 exons.